Molecule: ribosomal RNA, 255 nt
Filed under: uncultured bacterium
Lineage: Bacteria
Description: partial 16S ribosomal RNA
Rfam family: Bacterial small subunit ribosomal RNA
Source: RNAcentral
UACGUAGGGGGCAAGCGUUGUCCGGAAUUAUUGGGCGUAAAGAGCUCGUAGGCGGUCUGUUGCGUCGGCUGUGAAACCCGGGGCUUAACUCCGGGCCUGCAGCCGAUACGGGCAGACUAGAGUUCGGCAGGGGAGACUGGAAUUCCUGGUGUAGCGGUGAAAUGCGCAGAUAAUCAGGAGGAACACCGAUGGCGAAGGCAGGUCUCUGGGGCCACUACUGACGCUGAGAAGCGAAAGCGUGGGGGAGCGAACAGG